CUUCCCACCAGGUGGUGGAGCUGGUGGCCUAUGCUGCUGCUCAUGUCUAGAAACAUCACCAUGAUUUGAAUUUCCAAGUUCUCUCCUUUCUCUAGACAUUCCUUUAUCUCUUUCACCUCCACUUUCCUUAGGAGGAGGUGGUGGUGGUGGGGAACUUGGUGGUGGUGGUGGUGGUGGCGGCAUUGAAGAGCUGGGUGGAGGAGAUGAAGGAGGUGGUGGAGGAGGUGGCUGCAUUGGUUGUUGCAAUGGUUGAUGACCAUGCAGAGGAGGAUACUGUGAUGAAGGGUAGUAUCCUCCUGAUGCUGGUGGAGGUGGAGGUGGAGGUGGAUAUGAUGAGUCUGGUGGUGGUGGUGGAGGUGGUUGUUGAUAUGGAUAUUGUUGGUGAGGUGGCGGUGGUGGUGGUGGAGGAUAAUGUUGUGAGAAUUUUUGCUGGUUAGGAAUUUGCAUUUGAUUGUAUUGAUUAGGUCUUUGCUGCUGCUGCUGCUGUUGUGGUGGUGGUGGUGGUGGUGGUGGUGGUAGUGUGGAUUGUGA
RNAcentral lists this long non-coding RNA (531 nucleotides) under Ricinus communis (castor bean). RNAcentral describes it as "long non-coding RNA (RCOM_LNC000670)". The record is from RNAcentral. Lineage: Eukaryota; Viridiplantae; Streptophyta; Magnoliopsida; Malpighiales; Euphorbiaceae.